RNAcentral lists this ribosomal RNA (497 nucleotides) under uncultured bacterium. RNAcentral's name for it is "partial 16S ribosomal RNA". It matches the Rfam family "Bacterial small subunit ribosomal RNA", at positions 28 to 507 of the family's 1533-position model. The record is from RNAcentral.
GAUGAACGCUGGCGGCGUGCCUAAUACAUGCAAGUCGAGCGAACGGACGAGAAGCUUGCUUUUCUGAUGUUAGCGGCGGACGGGUGAGUAACACGUGGAUAACCUACCUAUAAGACUGGGAUAACUUCGGGAAACCGGAGCUAAUACCGGAUAAUAUUUUGAACCGCAUGGUUCAAAAGUGAAAGACGGUCUUGCUGUCACUUAUAGAUGGAUCCGCGCUGCAUUAGCUAGUUGGUAAGGUAACGGCUUACCAAGGCAACGAUGCAUAGCCGACCUGAGAGGGUGAUCGGCCACACUGGAACUGAGACAAGGUCCAGAAUCCUACGGGAGGCAGCAGUAGGGAAUCUUCCGCAAUGGGCGAAAGCCUGACGGAGCAACGCCGCGUGAGGGAUGAAGGUCUUCGGAUCGUAAAACUCUGUUAUUAGGGAAGAACAUAUGUGUAAGUAACUGUGCAAAUAUUGACGGUACCUAAUCAGAAAGCCACGGCUAACUACGUG